Molecule: RNA transcript, 964 nt
Organism: Saccostrea cuccullata (small rock oyster)
Lineage: Eukaryota; Metazoa; Mollusca; Bivalvia; Ostreida; Ostreidae
Exons: 8
Source: RefSeq, a predicted model, not a curated record
CCCAUGAAAACCUCUCAUUGCAGUGAAAUUGAAAAAUUGGUCAGUUGUCAUAUUUCCCACGUGGAGAAAACAUAUGAGAUAGAAUGUGUUGACUCCUGGAUGAUGAGAAGGGCUAUCGUAUCCAGCCUUGUGGAGCACAAUGUAAUUACAGAGCAAUUAAGACUCAAGUGCUUUCCCUCGCCAUGUGCUGCUGAAAAUUCCUUGAAAUUAGCUAAGUCAGGGUCAUACACCGGUUUGUUGCCUCAUUCCCAACAGAUUUUCUGUUGGUCUGUGAUCCGCCUUGUUAACAAUGGAAUAGCUGCCAUUACAGAUACAAACAAAUCAACAUGUUAUACUAGCGACAAAAGGAGGUUCCUAAGUGCCAUACAAACUAAACUAGAAGGAAUGUGGGAUAAAACUAAAUUUCACAUUUCUGAAUGUCCUUUAACAAUAACAUAUGACAAGACUGAAGGAGAGAUCGAGAUCACCAGAAGCACCACGAAAAAGAUAGAGACGUUUAUACUCACAAAUUUACACUAUGCAAUAGAAUUUCCAGAGACAAGAAAGAGUUGCCCAACAGAAGGAGUUAUCUUAACAGACAGUCCCACGUUUAUCACGAAAUCGUGGACAUUGACCAGAGCCUGAAGAUGCCGUAUGAAAUAGAGGAAAAGGAAGAGGGGGACGGUCAUUCUUACGUCACUCUUCAGCAAAAGGAAAGUGGUCCCAGUGAGAAGCCAUCAAUGGUCGAUGCCAGUAACAAUCGGUCUUCUGUCUUGUACAUAAAUACCGCCCAUUCGGAGCAAUAUGAUAAGCCGUCAAAGAGUAAAGACACAUCACUAAAAGAAACAAAUUUGGAGAAAACCACCGAAGGUUUCGUAAAAAUACAAACAAGACAAGAGAAAGUUAUUCAAGAACUCAAUACUCAGCUACUAAAGACAUUUCAAUAUCGAAAGGGAAUUGAACCAAAAGUGUAGAGAAAUGGAGA